RNAcentral lists this ribosomal RNA (812 nucleotides) under Chaetoceros sp. Its description in RNAcentral is "eukaryotic LSU rRNA". It matches the Rfam family "Eukaryotic large subunit ribosomal RNA", at positions 73 to 918 of the family's 3401-position model. Lineage: Eukaryota; Bacillariophyta; Thalassiosirophyceae; Chaetocerotales; Chaetocerotaceae. The record is from RNAcentral.
GGUCCCUCAGUAAGGGCGACUGAAGCGGGAAGAGCUCAUAAUGUGAAUCUGUACAGCUCCAGCUGUGCCGAAUUGUGGUAUACAUUAUCUGUCAGCACUCUGGGCCAAGUCCAUUGGAAAAUGGCAGCUGAGAAGGUGAGACUCCUGUUCUUGCCUGGAGUGUGUGAUAAUAGCAGGUGUAUUAAACGAGUCGAGUUGCUUGGGAUUGCAGCUCAAAGUGGGUGGUAAAUUCCAUCUAAAGCUAAAUAUUGGUGGGAGACCGAUAGCGUACAAGUACCGUGAGGGAAAGAUGCAAAGAACUUUGAAAAGAGAGUUAAAGAGUACCUGAAAUUGCUGAAAGGGAAGCGAAGGAAACCAGUGCUUUAGCAUAUCAUUCUUCUCUUGCUGCUUGCAGUGAGGGCGCUGUGGUAUGUUCAAGGUCAGCAUGGGUUUGAUUCACUAUAGAUAGCUUAUUAGGAGGUAAAUCCAUUGGAUUGAAUACUAGUGAGUGUUAUAGUGGGUCAGACUGAGGAUAGUCACUUGUGCUCGUGAUGCUGGCAAAAUGGUUUUCUUCUCCCCGUCUAGAAACACGGACCAAGGAGUCUAACAUAUUUGCGAGUGCAGAAGUGGCAAACUUCGGCGCGUAAUGAAAGUAACAGGGGUGGGAUUAUUGCACCAUCCGCCGGCCACAAUCCCUAGGGAGAAGGUCUGAUGUGAGCAUACAUGUUGGGACCCGAAAGAUGGUGAACUAUGCCUGAAUAGAGUGAAGCGAGGGGAAACUCUUGUGGAGGCUCGUACGAUUGUGACGUGCAAUCCAUCGUCAAAUUGGGUAU